Molecule: ribosomal RNA, 727 nt
Filed under: Phellodon confluens
Lineage: Eukaryota; Fungi; Basidiomycota; Agaricomycetes; Thelephorales; Thelephoraceae
Description: eukaryotic LSU rRNA
Rfam family: 5.8S ribosomal RNA (bases 302-455)
Source: RNAcentral
CUUGGUCAUUUAGAGGAAGUAAAAGUCGUAACAAGGUUUCCGUAGGUGAACCUGCGGAAGGAUCAUUAGCGAAAUCUUUUGUCAAGAAGGGCUGUAGCUGGCCUCCUCCAGGGGUGGCAUGUGCACGCCUGGAUUGCAAAUUUCCACACACCUGUGCACAUCCCCUCGUAGCUGCUGUGAUGCUGAUGAUACGGAUGUUUCCGAUUCUGACGCGCCCCUUGGGCUGCGAGCUGUCUUAUCAUAUACACUUUUCCAAGUAUUAGAAUGUAACUGCAGUAGCGUGUAAAAGCGCGAAAUGAACAACUUUCAGCAACGGAUCUCUUGGCUCUCGCAUCGAUGAAGAACGCAGCGAAAUGCGUUAAGUAAUGUGAAUUGCAGAAUUCAGUGAAUCAUCGAAUCUUUGAACGCACCUUGCGCUCCUUGGUAUUCCGAGGAGCAUGCCUGUUUGAGUGUCAUGGAAUUCUCAACUGCCUUUAUGGUGAAGUUGGAUUUGGAGGAUGGUUUUGCUGGCGCUCUUCUGUGAGCUUUGUCGGCUCCUCUUGAAUGCAUAGGCCUUUCUGUGCAACAUCGUGAAGCGGCUCUGAUGUGAUAAUUAUCUGCGUCGGGCGUCGUUGUUCGCUUUGAGUAUGGAAAUGGAUCGCGAUCGCAGUUAAAUGCGUGUUUGACCAAUUCGACCUCAAAUCAGGUAGGACUACCCGCUGAACUUAAGCAUAUCAAUAAGCGGAGG